This 253-nucleotide ribosomal RNA is filed under the name uncultured bacterium. Its description in RNAcentral is "partial 16S ribosomal RNA". It matches the Rfam family "Bacterial small subunit ribosomal RNA", at positions 524 to 776 of the family's 1533-position model. The record is from RNAcentral.
UACGGGGGGGGCAAGCGUUGUUCGGAAUUACUGGGCGUAAAGGGCUCGUAGGUGGCCAACUAAGUCAUACGUGAAAUCCCUCAGCUUUACUGGGGAACUGCGUCUGAUACUGGAUGGCUUGAGUUUGGGAGAGGGAUGCGGAAUUCCAGGUGUAGCGGUGAAAUGCGUAGAUAUCUGGAGGAACACCGGUGGCGAAGGCGGCAUCCUGGACCAAUACUGACACUGAGGAGCGAAAGCCAGGGGAGCAAACGGG